CAAGUGUAUACAUCUGUACAACCUAAACCUCUAUCAAGAUAUUGAACACUAACAACCCCAGAAAAUUGCUUCAUGCUCUUUUUCAGUCAAUCCCUGACCCAGUCCUUCAGAGGCAACUCUGUUCAGAAAUGCUUUUACUAUAGGUUAGUUUUGUCUAUUCUAGAAUUUCAUAAAAUGGAACGUGUACUCUUGUGUAAGGCCGCUUCCAUUCAGCAUAAUUUUUAAAAAAAUUCAGAGUGCCUGACCACAGCAAUAACCAGCCCUCAUUAGGGCCCCGGAUGAUUUUUGGUCUAAUAAUGCAUGCUAGCAUUGAUGUUGUUUGGUAUGAACAGGAAGAAUUAUGCAGCAGGCUUUAUUUUAAAUGCCAAUUCAUAUUACUCUGUUCAAGCUGAGUUGAGAUGUUGAACUGAUUUACUAUAGACUUUGUAAAAACAGCUUCAGAAGAGUAACAAACUGAAAUCUUUGAGAUCACACAGGUUGGA
This 482-nucleotide long non-coding RNA is filed under the name Homo sapiens (human). RNAcentral's name for it is "HSALNT0360139". Lineage: Eukaryota; Metazoa; Chordata; Mammalia; Primates; Hominidae. The record is from RNAcentral.